GACGAACGCUGGCGGCGUGCUUAACACAUGCAAGUCGAACGGAAAGGCCCUGCUUUUGUGGGGUGCUCGAGUGGCGAACGGGUGAGUAACACGUGAGUAACCUGCCCUUGACUUUGGGAUAACUUCAGGAAACUGGGGCUAAUACCGGAUAGGAGCUCCUGCUGCAUGGUGGGGGUUGGAAAGUUUCGGCGGUUGGGGAUGGACUCGCGGCUUAUCAGCUUGUUGGUGGGGUAGUGGCUUACCAAGGCUUUGACGGGUAGCCGGCCUGAGAGGGUGACCGGCCACAUUGGGACUGAGAUACGGCCCAGACUCCUACGGGAGGCAGCAGUGGGGAAUAUUGCACAAUGGGCGGAAGCCUGAUGCAACAACGCCGCGUGCGGGAUGACGGCCUUCGGGUUGUAAACCGCUUUCGCCUGUGACGAAGCGUGAGUGACGGUAAUGGGUAAAGAAGCACCGGCUAACUACGUGCCAGCAGCCGCGGUGAUACGUAGGGUGCGAGCGUUGUCCGGAUUUAUUGGGCGUAAAAGGGCUCGUAGGUGGUUGAUCGCGUCGGAAGUGUAAUCUUGGGGCUUAUCCUGAGCGUGCUUUCGAUACGGGUUGACUUGAGGAAGGUAGGGGAGAAUGGAAUUCCUGGUGGAGCGGUGGAAUGCGCAGAUAUCAGGAGGAACACCAGUGGCGAAGGCGGUUCUCUGGGCCUUUCCUGACGCUGAGGAGCGAAAGCGUGGGGAGCGAACAGGCUUAGAUACCCUGGUAGUCCACGCUGUAAACGGUGGGUACUAGGUGUGGGGUCCAUUCCACGGGUUCCGUGCCGUAGCUAACGCUUUAAGUACCCCGCCUGGGGAGUACGGCCGCAAGGCUAAAACUCAAAGGAAUUGACGGGGCCCCGCACAAGCGGCGGAGCAUGCGGAUUAAUUCGAUGCAACGCGUAGAACCUUACCUGGGUUUGACAUGGAUCGGGAGCGCUCAGAGAUGGGUGUGCCUCUUUUGGGGUCGGUUCACAGGUGGUGCAUGGCUGUCGUCAGCUCGUGUCGUGAGAUGUUGGGUUAAGUCCCGCAACGAGCGCAACCCUUGUUCACUGUUGCCAGCACGUUAUGGUGGGGACUCAGUGGAGACCGCCGGGGUCAACUCGGAGGAAGGUGGGGAUGACGUCAAGUCAUCAUGCCCCUUAUGUCCAGGGCUUCACGCAUGCUACAAUGGCUGGUACAGAGAGUGGCGAGCCUGUGAGGGUGAGCGAAUCUCGGAAAGCCGGUCUCAGUUCGGAUUGGGGUCUGCAACUCGACCUCAUGAAGUCGGAGUCGCUAGUAAUCGCAGAUCAGCAACGCUGCGGUGAAUACGCUCCCGGG
RNAcentral lists this ribosomal RNA (1343 nucleotides) under uncultured bacterium. Its description in RNAcentral is "16S ribosomal RNA". It matches the Rfam family "Bacterial small subunit ribosomal RNA", at positions 28 to 1378 of the family's 1533-position model. The record is from RNAcentral.